Molecule: long non-coding RNA, 974 nt
Organism: Colossoma macropomum (tambaqui)
Lineage: Eukaryota; Metazoa; Chordata; Actinopteri; Characiformes; Serrasalmidae
Exons: 3
Source: RefSeq, a predicted model, not a curated record
UUAAGAGUUAUCUGACCAAGCACAUGUACUCUCUGCUUGAAAUCUCCUUGCUGGGAAACUCAUUGGUUUUAUGCCCAUUAUGGAGUUUUUUUUGAACUUGUAUAAUACAUGGACUGGUUUAUUGCUGGAGGACUGUUAGGAGUUUCAGACUUGGACUUUGGUAAAUCUCACUUUCCAGCCCAAGGCCUUCCAGCUCUGUCUACCUGGUUACUAGCUAUUCCUGCGACUGACUUCCAUUCUGCCGAUGCAGAAUGCUGUGUUAAAAGGAUUGACUGGGAUGUCCUGCACAGAUAAACAGCACCAGUGAAACUCAGGGACACAACGAAAUUUAGCCCCAAAAAGGCUGAGUGACAUGUUUCAAGCACCACAAAAUAAGUGAUGUGCCUGAGAAAAUGCCUGCUGUUUCUUCACUGUUACUGUGAACUCCUGUAUUCAGCUCCCACAGUGCACGAAAAGAAGAGCUUAGAAGGGGCUCAUGUAGCAAUAGUCAGCCUCCUGCACAAAUGUAUCUCAGCUGAACAAGAACAAGUACCAGCAGCCACCACACAGCUUCAGUAACCACAUGGUGAACACAAGCCUUAUAUACAAUGCCAGAAAUGCAUGUCAUUUUACACUGCAUAUGUCAAACUAGAUGAGCUUAAAUGCACCAGUUUAGAAGAAGUCACUAAAACACAGAGUGCCUCUCAUAUCUGGUAUGAUGCAUGGAAAAUGAGUAUAAGUGCUAGCUUGGCAAAAAAGGUUACUGUGCGUGCAUCCACAAGGCCAGACCAUUUAGUUUUUUUUUUAUUGUGCACAAAAUAUUACUCAUUUUAAUGGUGAUUAAUGCUUCCAUUGUUUAUAAUUUGUAAUUAAAUAGCUUAGCAGUUUAUAUAAAGCAGUUUACUACUGUUCACACAUCCAUGUGGAAGAAAAAAAUAUUACCCCAUUACCACUUGCAAGAAAAACAGACUGAAUAUGCUGAACAACAGGCAUAC